Long non-coding RNA from Mya arenaria, 242 nucleotides. RefSeq lists it as uncharacterized. The transcript is spliced from 3 exons. Lineage: Eukaryota; Metazoa; Mollusca; Bivalvia; Myida; Myidae. The record is from RefSeq and is a predicted model, not a curated record.
AUAAAAGACGAUGCAGUCCAGAUAAAAACAUUGUAUGGCUCAAUAAUCUUUACCAAACUUGAUGCAUCAGAUGAAGUCUUUGACUAUCUAGAAAGGGAUUUUGUAAGCUAGUACUGGACAUGAAGACAGUCACUUGGAAAUGAUGAUUGUGCAACAGCGGUUAAACAUAUGCAAUACAUCAUAUGGUGACCAGACAGGGAGGAAACUAGGGAAAUGGUUAUCCACCAACAACCCAAGUGCUU